RNAcentral lists this ribosomal RNA (483 nucleotides) under uncultured Coriobacteriaceae bacterium. Its description in RNAcentral is "bacterial SSU rRNA". It matches the Rfam family "Bacterial small subunit ribosomal RNA", at positions 8 to 507 of the family's 1533-position model. The record is from RNAcentral. Lineage: Bacteria; Bacillati; Actinomycetota; Coriobacteriia; Coriobacteriales; Coriobacteriaceae.
AGAGUUUGAUCCUGGCUCAGGAUGAACGCUGGCGGCGUGCCUAACACAUGCAAGUCGAACGAAUAACCCGCCUUCGGGCGGUCAUAGAGUGGCGAACGGGUGAGUAACACGUGACCAACCUGCCCCGCACCCCGGGACAACCGCCGGAAACGGCGGCUAAUACCGGAUACUCCGGGCCUCGCGCAUGCGCGGCCCGGGAAAGCCCAGACGGUGCGGGAUGGGGUCGCGGCCCAUUAGGUAGUAGGCGGGGCAACGGCCCACCUAGCCUGCGAUGGGUAGCCGGCCUGAGAGGGCGAUCGGCCACAUUGGGACUGAGAUACGGCCCAGACUCCUACGGGAGGCAGCAGUGGGGAAUAUUGCGCAAUGGGGGCAACCCUGACGCAGCAACGCCGCGUGCGGGACGAAGGCCUUCGGGUUGUAAACCGCUUUCAGCAGGGAAGAACCAUGACGGUACCUGCAGAAGAAGCCCCGGCUAACUACGUG